Gorilla gorilla gorilla (western lowland gorilla) is the source of this 11482-nucleotide RNA transcript. It is a transcript of the gene named neurobeachin-like, with no coding region annotated. The record is from RefSeq and is a predicted model, not a curated record. Lineage: Eukaryota; Metazoa; Chordata; Mammalia; Primates; Hominidae. The transcript is spliced from 7 exons.
UAAGCACCAAACAAUAGAUACCAGCAUCAAAAGAAGGUUUGGAUACAACCUUCUUUCGUUUUGUUUGGAUACAAGGAGCUAGUUUGGGUCUGCUCCUUUAAUGUAUCUAUGCUCAUAUUUUCCUUUCUCGAUUAUAAAAUAAAUUAGAGGUGAACACUGUGGUUAGCCAUAGAUUAACCAAGAAAGCAGAAAUCAUCUCAAAUGUUCACAGCGGAAGGAAUGGAAAGCAGAGAUGGGUCCAUGAAGAGUGGAGAGGCUGAGAAUUAAACAGCGGGCUCUAAAAUAAUCCUGGGAGAUUGACGAUAGCAGGAAGUCUUUAUCAUUCUCGGGCUGGAGAGACAAAAGGAAAACAUGCAAUUACUGGCACCAAGAGGACCACUCUGGGAGACUGGAUCUCUGGUGGCCUCGAUACAAUGGGGGCUGGAGUCACAGAGAAGAUAAAGCCACUGGAGAGGCCACCUUAGGCUGAAAACAGGAGGGAGUGUCUUGAUAGCUCCCUCCCCCAAAAACCACUCCUCACCCUGCUCUCUAAUUUUCCAUGGUUGAUACAUUCCUGCUGCCUAUUGACUCAAUCCUUUCAGAAAUUCUCUAGAGCCUGAAAAAGUCACCCUGCCGAGGAUCAACUUCUUCCCCCCAGAACAAGGCAGAGCAGAAGGAUGGAUCUGAGUGCAAACAGGUCCAGGACCAGCACACCGUAUGGUCAAGUGUUUUUAUGGUGUUAUAUAAUAGAAUACAUCAUUGAAUUCAACUGCUUCAUUUUACAGAGAGGAGCUAGGGUCCAGAGAGAUGAAACUGUUUACCUAAAUGCACACACACAGCAAACUUUUAGGUCUGAACACACAGCAUGCUUUUAUUAGGAUUGUAUUAGUUAUGACACUGCUUAAGCCCUAUUAUAAAGUUCUUGGGAGCUGAGUCAUUUCAUAGUCAUCCCUAGUACCUGAUACAGCAUCUGGUGCUUAGAAAACUCUCAAUAAAACAUUUACUGAAUUCAUACAGAUUGAAAGAGAAAACAUAGCCUAUCAACUGAUCUAAGGUAGCUUCAGAAAAUUUCCAGUCAUAUAAGAGUUACUGAGCAAAGACUGUCAAAACAAAGCAAAGUCUUUGUUAAACAAAGACUGUCAAAAUUAUGCCUCUUAAAUGUUUCAAAAGGGAAUCAUACAUUCUCACUGGCCUGUGACGGUUUAGAUUUUCUAUGAUUCAGAACAAGAACAAAGAUAUGUUUCUUUUAACUCUCAUACUAAACUGUUAUUUGAAAUAAUAAAAAGGAUGUCAGCAGUGAAAAGCUGUACAGGCUGUACAGAACAGAUUGAUACAAAUAAAAAACGAAUAAAUAUUUAUGUGGCCAUGUGUGGGAGGCGUUGCCUGGAGUGUUUCCCCCACAUCCCUGACUAUGGAGUGAAAAAGGAAACUUAGGAAAAAAUAUACCCAAAGAGGGAGAUUUAAAUAGCACAGUGGGCAGUGGGGGAAGUGAUGACUAAUAUUGCUGUUAGUAGUGGUUUAGGAACAAAAGAGACAAGUCAGCUGGAAACCUUCUGGUGUCUUCUGCUAGGGCUCCUUGCUAAAGCUGAUGCUGGAAAGGAGGAAGGAAGGAAAGAAGGAAGGAAAAGAGGGAGAGAGGGAGCGAGGAAGGAAGGAAGGGAAGUCAUUAGAAUGUAAGCUGAACACCCAUUUGGUGCUUUUGGCCAAACAAUAAUACACAUGUUUGAAAGUUCAUUUUGGUGGGAACCCAACUUAAGUAGAAUUAAUGAAAUUGAUACAGAACUUGAAAUUCACUACCUAAAAUUAUUCAUUAAAAAUGCAACAUGCAUUGAAUUAAUGUAGCAGCACCUGAAGGAAGUCAAAGAAACUCCAGUUUGAAUUUUGGGAGAAAAGAAAGUACCAUUUAAUUUGAAAUAAAUGAAGAGAACCUAAAAGAGCAAAUGGCUAAAUAAGUAGAAGAGGUUUUUUGCAACCUAUAAUUACUGGGGGAUUUUUUUCAGGAAGCUUCAGGAAAGAAGCUCUGACCCUUAGAUUAGUCAUUCGUCACCCAAUCACUGGCUGCUAAAUUAGAGGCCAGAAAAAAGAGAUCAGACAUGUGCAAGAAGGAAGAAGAAGAAGGAAGAGGAGAAGGAGGAGGAGGGUGGGGGAGAGGGAAGAGGAAGGGAAGGAAGGGGAAGCAGCUGUCACUUUUUUGUUUCAGUGAAACUAUACAGAGCAAAAUCCCAUUAGAGCUUUCUGAGAAGUUAUGUCUGGGACAGAUCUGAUGGUAGGCUUGAAACUUUGAACAGAGUCCAAGAAAAAUCCCUUUUUUUUUUUUUUUUUUGGUUUUGUAGAAUUUAGAACUAUUUUUCUAGGUGGCUGAAAUAAAAUAAAAUUUUAAGUAGUUGAAAUGUUAAGUAAAUUGUUUUCAACAAUUUGCAGAUUUAUGUCAGAAUAUAUGUUAUGGGAUUCAGCAGAUAAAAUAAUAAUAUUAAACAUCAAAGUAAGAAUAGUGUGAGAGAUGAAUAAUUUAAGGCAAUUUUAGUUGCAUGAGGUUUUUUUUCUUUUUCUUAUGAAUAAAAAUAUAAUUUUAUUACUCUGUAGAGAGGUGAGUAAACUAGGAGAAACUCGAGGGGAAAUGCAAAACAUAAUAAAAUAGAAUACAUUCGAUUUUAAAAGAAUGUCGGUAUUUCAUUUGAGUGCUGGCCAAAAGAUAAUGAAAUUUCUUGGAUGAAAAGCAGUUAUCAGAAUUUAAAAUUUCAAAAACCUGUAUUAGGAAGACACAUCACUUAUGUGGUAUGUAGUAUUCUUGUCAACAAUAUUUUGUCUAAAUCUAAUCAUGAUGAAACAAUCAGAAAAAUCCAAAUUGAGAACAAUCUGUAAAAGGAAUGGUCUUUGUUUUGUUACAUGUAUACAUAUAUGUAAAUAUAUAUCCCCAAAGCCGACCUUGAGAAGGAAAUUCACUGAGCCAUUCCUUACGAGUGUUCCCAGGAGAAACAGGAAAGUGAGAAGUCAAGUCGGUCCAAGAAGAAUAAAGAGGCCAAGCCCAGUUGCAUAUCAGCAAUCUCACAGAGAGAACUGCCUCAGUCCCUCGAGGGUAAGUAGAUGACCUCAGAGUUGUCCCGUCAGUUGCUGCUUCAGAGCCACACUUUCAGCUCAUCCUUGCACUUCAUGCAAUCUGUGAGCCCCACAGGCAGAGCAGGUCCUAGCUGCCUGAGGUUAUUCCCUAUGAGAGAAGCAGAUCUAGGUUCCCACAGCAGAGUCUCUGCUGUAACUAAACAGAAGGCUUCAUUCAUGGUUGGAUUAAGGAUGGGGGAAGGGCAGGUGGCUAUGAAGGUUAUUACUUGGACCACAGGGACAAUUUUUAAAUGAGCUGUACAUUAAAUAUUUAAUUUUAUUGUUGUUAAAUUUUGAAUGUGAUAAUUAUGUCACGCUUAUGUGGAAGAAUAUCCAUGUACUUAUAAGAUACAUACUGAAGUAUUUAGGACAAAAAUGCUGUGUCUAAACUUAUUCUCUAAUAGCCUCACAAAAGAAAAGUAAUAUUGAUGUGUAUGUGUGAGUAUAUGAAUGUAUAUACACACAUACAUGUAUACAUAUACAUUUAGUAUGUUUAUGUAUACAUGUUUGUAGACAGAUUAAAAUAGAGGAAAAUAUGGAAAAAUGUAAACAAAUGGUGACUCUAAGUAAAAAGAUAUAUAGAUAUUUAUUAUACUAUUAUUUUAACCUGUAAGUUUAAAAUUUUUCAAAACAAAUAGUAGGAGAAACAAAUUAGCACUUGUCAUGGUAACUUUUUUUCAAGAAAAGUUGUGUUUAAGAUCAAACCAGGUGCGGUGGUUCAUGCCUGUAAUCCCAGUACUUUGGGAGGCCAAGACAGGAGGAUUACUUGACCCCAGGAAUUUGAGACCAGCCCUGAUAACAUAGUGAAAACUGUUGCUACAGAAAAUUUAAAAAUUGGCUUGGCAUGCGUCUCUUUGUGCAGCCCAUGCUGGAGUGCACUGGCGCGAUCUUGGCUCACUGCAGCCUUGACCUCUGGAGCUCAAGUGAUCCUCUCAUUUCAGCCUCCAAGUAGCUGGGACCACAGGUGCGCCACCCAACCUGGUUAAUUUUUGUAUUUUGUGUAGAGACAGGGUUUUGCCAGGUUGCCGAAUCUAGUCUCGAACUCCUGGGCUCAAGCCAUCCAUCCACCUGGGCCUUACGAAGUGCUGGGAUUAUAGGUGUGAGCCACUGCAUCCAGCCAGGACUUCUGAUUUCUUUACUGUUUAUUAGAGGAUGGACCCUAUUCCCUCCAAUCAUAACUCACUUUUUAAAGCAGUGAUUCUCAGCCCUUUUGGUUUCAAAUUUUUGGUAGCCUAUUUAAGGAGGAGGUUAAGAUACCCAAAAUAUCGCCAAUCAAGUCCUGAAUCAUUACAGUGCAUACUUGCACCGUAAAAUUCUGUCCCAGAGUGUCUGAAAAGUAUCCAUAACAACCGGUCAGCUUCAUGUAACUAACUGCUUCAGUGGAAAUGAUUAUUGUCUUGACCUCAUUCCUUUAUACUUAAAAGGACAAAUUUCUCAUAUGUUCCAGAAAGUAUGCCAUCUUUAUUUAGCACUAGGCAGCUCAUCUCUUACUUGCAGCAAGUUGUACCCAGUCUACAUAAUUUCUAUAACCUACUACUCCAUCCAGCAGUUAUUUUUGACCAGCACUGCUGCAAUCAUACAUAUACUUGUUUAAGCAGAAGUUAGUCUUACACAUUGGUUUUGACAAUACCACUGUUUCACAGAUAUUUCCUGUUCUGUCUCCUUACAUCCAUAUGGUAAGAUUGUACAUGCUGGUCCCCUUGCGGUGGGGUUAGGUGACCAGUUCUAGCACUUGUCACCCAUAAGUGAUGAGUAGAAGUGACAAUCCACUUCUGGGCCAGAGUACUUAAAUGUUGAUGGUAAACCCACCACAUUUCUCUCUUUUGCUUCCAGCACAGUGACCCAUGAUAUUCAAGGUGGUGGCUGCUUUGUCAGAUGAAUUCCUGAGUGACCAUAAGCAGAGAUCUCCUAACGACCCAUGAUGGGUAGUGUGAGCAAGUAUGAGCCGUCUAGUGGAGCAAGAAAUAGUGCCUAUAUAAGCACUGAGAUUUGAAGAUGGUUUGUUACCAGAGAAUUGCCUACCUUAUCCUGACUGAUAAUCAGAUGUAAUAAUAUACCUCUGACUGGUGUUGGCUCCAUCAUACACCAGGGAAACAGCUGUUGUCUAGUACUUAUAACAUGUAACUCAAAACCCCUGGUUUAAAUGAAUUCCUGAGUGCAUUAUGCAUAACAUUUGUAUAACUGGCUUUUGUAAACAAGACAUUGCUAUAGUUCUUCACAGAAUUAUGCUAAUAUCGAUAGAUUAUUCUUCAUUUAUCUUUAUCUGUUCUGAGCGACUGAAAGAGGAAAGAUUUGUUAUGAGAACACAUAAAUACAGUAUCAUGAAAGGGAAAGAAAAAGUUCUGUUUUGCGGAAGGCAUUAGUCCCCUUUGUUAGUCAAAUGAAGAGAGACUAUUCAUUAUACUUUAAUCUUAAGGAAUCCAAGAUUGCUAAACUAAUGGAUGACAUGUGACUAAGGAAUGAAUUAGUUGAACUUUAUUCUAUGAGUUGCCACCAUGAACUGUGCCAGGUCCUUUAAAUGCUUUGAAUGUUUUUCAUGCACGGAUAAGAUUAUUUCAGACCUACCAGGCCUUGAAGAAGGAUCAAAGUCUUGUCAGAGCUUUUGCCUAAAAUUGAAAAUAUCAUGUUACUUGGAUUAUUUAUUUAUCCCUGCACCUUGUUGCAAAAAGGAUUUUAAGUAGAUGGCAUAUUAUUAUUUUAUUAACACGUUAAAAAAAAACCCAUAAGAGGAUUAUAGAGUUUUUCCCUAUCCUACUUCUCAGAGUGUUUUAAGCACACUGUAGAAUUUAUUCACUCAUGAAUUUGAUACAAACUAAAGUGAAAAUCUCUUCUCUGGAACCUCAUAGUGCUUAGAAAGCAUAGUAACACGUUCAGAGAAAGAGGAAGAUCAAAUUUAGAGGAAGCUCGUGUUUGAGUUUCUGCCACAAUGAGUUUCCCAUUCUAGAUAUUAAAAUAAUAGUAUAUACCCCAAAUAAAAUACUCAAGUUUCUGUAAAUUAAGGAUUAUGACUUGAUUAUACAUAUUUUAGAUUUAGAGCAUGCAUAAAAAAUAUCUUUUUCACCAACUAGUAGAAAAAAAUUCGAAAUGUGAUGAUUUUAAUCUUUCAUGAUAUGUAAUCUAAAAUAUCAAAACAUCACUGACUUUGCAUUAUAAUUAAAUAUAAAAGGUGACUGACUUAAGCCAAAUUUAAAAAAAAAAUUGAGACAAGGUCUGUGUCACCAGAGGUGUUAAGCAGUAGUGCAAACACAGCUCACUGCAGCAUUGACCUCCCGGGCUCAAACUCUCCUCCCAUCUCAGCCUCCCAGGCAGCUGAGAUCACAGAUACACACCACCACACCCAGAUAAUUUUUUUUUUUAAGUAAGGACAAAAUCUCACUAUGUUGUCCAGGUUCCAAAUAAAUUUUAAGAGCCUAAUUUUAACUAUUCAAAAACUAAGCAAAUACCUGAAAAUUAUUUCUUCUGAAAAACACAUACUAAAUAAAAAUCUACUAUACUUAUGGAUUUUCAGAGGUCUUCAUAAAUAUUAACUCAUAAAUUCUUGUGGCUUUCCCAAUUGUCACAUGUCUCCUUUCAUGAAAUAUUUUGUAAAUUUUUACUAUGGUAUUGGACAGAGCAUGAACCUCAGAAUUGCCCAAAUCUGAGUUCACCAACUUAAUCAAGCACAUAUUAUUAAUAUAUAACCUUGGAUAAUUUAUCAAUUUAAACUGAAGAGCUUUAUCUUCAACAUUUCUAAAUUAUGCGUGUUAUAAACAAUAAAUCAGGUUAUUCCAUUACAUUUAAUAACUAGCAACCCACACUGUGAUAAGUGUCAGUAAUGCAACAGCACGGUAAUAUAUAGGCAAAGCACCAACCAGAAAUUAAGUAUCUGUUGAAUUUCUCUCUACUCUCCUUUUCCCUCAACCAAUUCCUGAAUAAAUGGAGGGAGAAACAGGAAUGUUUUAAGAAAUCUUCUUCAACUAAUAUGAAAUAGGAUAUCUGAAGACUCACCCUUCUGUCUUCCUAGUCUAUAGUUUGUUCCACAGCUAUUUUUGUGACUAAAGAUACUAAAAUUAGACAUUACUUUUAUCUCUAAAUUUCAAGGCAGUUGUUAAGAACUAUGACUAAACUACCAAAAUAAAGAAACAUAGAGGAAUAAUGAACAUUGACUACAAACUAAACUGAUUGUCACAUAUUCUAUGUGGUGAUUUGAGAGACUGCUUCUCAUACACUGUAAUUCAAUGAAAAAAAUAGCAUAUACAAAAUGAUUACUUAGUAAGAAAAAUUCAAACUUAAAACGAGUUGUCAAUGUGACAUGCCAUGUUAGAAAUGAAUAAUAAAAUGUGUGCCAAGGGCUAAGUAAGGCAUUUUUCCCUUUUUUUCUCUUUUAAAAAGUACUACAAAAGAGCAGUUUUUUUGGUUAAAAGAAUUAAUGAAAAUUGCUAAGUCAAUGACGCUUUCAGAAGUUCCCUGUUUUUGACAUCAGAGUCAUAUUAUAAUGCUCUAUUUUCUGUUUCCUCACCUAAAUAGAAUUUUGCUUGAGGUAAUUUUUUAUCUGAACUUCUGUUUGUAGAAACCAGGGAUAUUUAUCGAAUUGUUUCUGGCUGGCUAUUUGAUCGUAACAAAGCAUUUAAAUGGUACUGAUCCCCUGGCUUGAGCAACGGAGCAUCCCAGACUUUCAGUUAGUUGCACACAGCACACAUACAACUCAUUUGAGUUACAGCUAAAUGCAAUUACAGGCCUCAGAGCUAAUAUAUAGAUCACUUCUUAUUUAAGGCAAUUCACCUUUGAAUUGGUUAACCUUUAAUUGUUUACAAAAUACUAAGAUGGGAAACAAAGUUGCUACCCAAUAUGUCAGUUUCCCCAAAUAAACACUUAUUUAAAGGUUCAUUUGUUAAUCAAGUAUCUGGAAGUUGAAAUACAUUUUUAUGAAAGGAAAUAAAUUUUAGGUGAUGAUUAGGUUUUUAUCAAGAGCUGAAGUUUUUAAUAAUGGACAGGGAGAGAUACUAUGGCAAAACAGUAAUUGAAUAAAACAUAAAUUCCAUAAAAUGAUAUGAAAAAUCAAUGACAUUUAUCCUGAGUCAAAUAUAAAGAGAAUUAAAUUGAGGAUGAUAAAAUGUUUCUAAUCAUUGUUCCACCAGUAUUUGACCUUGAGCAAACUGCCUGGGGGCCAUAUUUGGUAGACAGAUGAGGAUGUACACUUUCUUUUAAAUACUUGAGAAUUAGCUUGAGUGCUAUCAUUUGAUAACUUGCUCGGUAUUUCAUAAAUGCCAGGAAAUUAACUCAAAUCCUUUGAUGAGCUGCAUUUUCUGUAUUCAAUUUGUGUAAGUUCAACAAAUAUUUAUUGAGGGUCUUCCAUAUGCUGGGUAUGUGUCUUCGCAAAAUAAAGUACAUUAUGAAAGAUGUGAUGCUCAAUAGUAUAUCAUCAGUGAAUUGCAAAUUAAAAUCUAAAUGAGAUAUCACUAUAUAUCCACUGGAUUGUCUAAUAUUUUAAAGUUGUCAGUAUUAAAUAUUGGGAAAAAUGUGGAGCAGCUGGAACACUCAUACAUUGCCAGUGGGAGAUUAAAAUGGUGCAGCACUUUGUAAAGCUAAACAUAUAUUUACUAUACUACCCAAUAAUACCACUAAGUAUUUACGAAGAGAAAACAAUUGUCUACACAAAGACUUGUACAUGAAUGUUCACAGUAGCUUUAUUCAUCAUAGCUAAAAACUGGAAACAACUCAAAAACAGAAAAGUAAAUUGAUGAGCAAAUUGUGGUAUAUCAAUUUAAUGGGAUACCAUCCAACAAUGAAAUAAAUAAUGAAUGAUAACACUGAUUGACAUCAAUAAUUUCAAAAUCAUUAUCCUAUGUUAAUGAAGCCAGACACAAAUAAGUACUUUGUAUAUUAUUUUAUUUGCAUAAAAAUUUAUAACAGGAAAAUCUAAUCUAUAAUGGCAAAAAGUAGAUUCGUGGUUGUCUGAGCUAAGGGUAGAGGAAGAUUGAUGGACUGCAAAAUGCAAAAGGGAACUCCUUGAGGGUGAUGGAAAUAGUCUAUAUCCUGAUUAGCAAGGUGGUUACAUGCAUGUAUACCUUUCUCAAAACUCAUAGAACAUACACUUAAAAUGUGCAGUGCUGGCUGGGUGCAGUGGUAUGGCUCACACCAAUAAUGAACAGGGAGAGAUACUAUGGCAAAACAGUAAUUGAAUAAAACAUAAAUUCAAUAAAAUGAUAUGAAAAAUCAAUGUUUGACAUUUAUCCUGAGUCAAAUAUAAAGAGAAUUAAAUUGAGGAUGAUAAAAUGUUUCUAAUCAUUGUUCCACCAGUAUGUGACCUUGAGCAAACUGCCUGGGGGCCAUAUUUGGUAGACAGAUGAGGAUGUACACAGUGGUAUAGCUCAUACCACUGCACCCAGCCAGCACUGCACAAUAAAUGUCAAACAUUGAUUUUUCAUAUCAUUUUAUGGAAUUUAUGUUUUAUUCAAUUACUGUUUUGCCAUAGUAUCUCUCCCUGUCCAUUAUUAAAAACUUCAGCUCUUGAUAAAAACCUAAUCAUCACCUAAAAUUUAUUUCCUUUCAUAAAAAUGUAUUUCAACUUCCAGAUACUUGAUUAACAAAUGAACCUUUAAAUAAGUGUUUAUUUGGGGAAACUAACAUAUUGGGUAGCAACUUUGUUUCCCAUCUUAUUAUUUUAUAAACAAUUAAAGGUUAACCAAUUCAAAGGUGAAUUGCCUUAAAUAAGAAGUGAUCUAUAUAUUAGCUCUGAGGCCUGUAAUUGCAUUUAGCUGUAACUCAAAUGAGUUGUAUGUGUGCUGUGUGCAACUAACUGAAAGUCUGGGAUGCUCCGUUGCUCAAGCCAGGGGAUCAGUACCAUUUAAAUGCUUUGUUACGAUCAAAUAGCCAGCCAGAAACAAUUCAAUAAAUGUCCCUGGUUUCUACAAACAGAAGUUCAGAUAAAAAAUUACCUCAAGCAAAAUUCUAUUUAGGUGAGGAAACAGAAAAUAGAGCAUUGUAAUAUGACUCUGAUGUCAAAAACAGGGAACUUCUGAAAGCGACACUGAUUUAGCAAUUUUCAUUAAUUUUUUUUAGUCCUCUACGACCGGCAGCUAGCAACUUGACAGGAAAAUACAGGAACCUGAAUAAACCUGACCCGUCUUCAGCAUCGUUUAUAUACUGCGGUUAUGCCCACGGAGGUUCCUGGACUGCAUGUUUUGAUUGGAUGAGAAAAAACCUCCAGGCUUACUCUGAUUGGACUUUAUUAUCAUGUUCUGAUUGGUUGAGAGCAAGUCUUAACACAGCCAAUCACAGCAUGAAAAUAAAGUCCAAUCAGAGUAGGCCUAGAGGUUUUUCUCUCGUCCAAUCAGAACAUGUAGUCCAGGAAACGCAUUUGCAUAACCUCAGUAUAUAAAGCAUGCUGAGGUCGCAUCACGUCAUUUCAAGCUCUUGUGUAUGGAGGGAAGGAGCUACCCUGUGACCGGCUUAGAGAACUGGAAGAGACCGCAACCUUCCUUCUGCUUGAGGUUGGAGGAUGGAUGGAGCCUGGAGCCCUGGAGCGUGGGACACUGUUUCGCUGUGGUUGGUGGUGGCGACAGAGCAGUAGGAGAGCGGCCGGCAGCGGGAGCUUCUCCUGCUAGGCUGGAGGACUAGGAGAAGGAAGAGGCACUGCCACAUGCUGGAGGCUGGAGCCUGUGCCACUGUGGCUGGCCUCGCUGUGGUUGGCUCGCCUCGCUGUGGUUGGCUCGCCUCGCUGUGGUUGGCUCACCUCGCUGUGGUUGGCUCGCCUCGCUGUGGUUGGUGGUGACGUCGGAGACUGCAGCUCGGCCACAGUGGUAGAAAUGUGAUGGGGUAGUGGUACAUGAUCAGCAUUGUCCACAUUUACAAUCGAUGGAGGAACAAUGAAAUUCAGUGUUACGUUAAUGGACAACUGGUAUCUUAUGGUGAUAUGGCUUGGCAUGUUAACACAAAUGAUAGCUAUGACAAGUGCUUUCGUGGAUCAUCAGAAACUGCUGAUGCAAAUAGCGUAUUCUGUGCUCAACCUGUUGCCGUUCAGUGAAGCACUCAGCCCAGCACAGAUACUUGCAAUUCAUCAGUUAGGACCUAGAUAUAAGGGAAGUUGGAAAUAGGCAAGAAUGGAGAGAAAUUUUGUAUGGCAGUACACAGAAUUUUGCAAGUUUUUUGUGAGCCCUGCAACAAUCCGAUGCAUUUUAGUUACUGUGCUACUCUUUCGACAUUCCUGGUUGAACUACUUAAAAGUUCAGUAGCCAUGCAAGAACAGGUGCUGGGUGGAAAAGGCUUUUUAGUUAUUGGCUAAUUACUUGAAAAGUCAUCAAGAGUUCAUGUAACUAGACCUGUCUUGGAGCAAUUUUUAUCUUUUGCAAAAUACCUUGGUGGUUUAUCUCAUGGAGCACCUUUGCUGAAGCAGCUUUGUGAUCAUAUUUUGUUUAUUAACCCAGCC